AGAGAUGAGUAUGAAUUUAUGGGGUAGUGAGAGAAGUUUAUAUAAAUAGAUACUGCAUUAAUUGAGAGGUCAA
This is a long non-coding RNA of Salvia miltiorrhiza (redroot sage), 73 nucleotides long. RefSeq lists it as uncharacterized. Lineage: Eukaryota; Viridiplantae; Streptophyta; Magnoliopsida; Lamiales; Lamiaceae. The record is from RefSeq and is a predicted model, not a curated record. The transcript has 2 exons.